Molecule: ribosomal RNA, 468 nt
Filed under: uncultured bacterium
Lineage: Bacteria
Description: partial 16S ribosomal RNA
Rfam family: Bacterial small subunit ribosomal RNA
Source: RNAcentral
GACGAACGCUGGCGGCGUGCUUAACACAUGCAAGUCGAACGGAAAUGCCCUGCUUUUGUGGGGUGCUCGAGUGGCGAACGGGUGAGUAACACGUUAGUAACCUGCCCUUUACCUUGGGAUAACUUCAGGAAACUGGUGCUAAUACCGGAUAGGAGCUCCUGCUGCAUGUUGGGGGUUGGAAAGUUUCGGCGGUUGGGGAUGGACUCGCGGCUUAUCAGCUUGUUGGUGGGGUAGUGGCUUACCAAGGCUUUGACGGGUAGCCGGCCUGAGAGGGUGACCGGCAACAGUGGGACUGAGAUAAGGCCCAGACUCAUACGGGAGGAAGCAGUGGGGAAUAUUGCACAAUGGGCGGAAGCCUGAUGCAGCAACGCCGCGUGCGGGAUGAAGGCCUUCGGGUUGUAAACCGCUUUCGCCUGUGACGAAGCGUGAGUGACGGUAAUGGGUAAAGAAGCACCGGCUAACUACGUG